This is an RNA transcript of Mus musculus (house mouse), 2593 nucleotides long. It is a transcript of the gene named butyrophilin-like 5, pseudogene, with no coding region annotated. The transcript has 9 exons. Lineage: Eukaryota; Metazoa; Chordata; Mammalia; Rodentia; Muridae. The record is from RefSeq and is marked provisional.
GCUUGAAUAGGCAGUGACUCUGUUCCUGUUCCUGCCAUCUUCUCUGCUGCUGUCUCUCUUGUCCUCAUGAUGGACACUGUGCCUGCCCUGUCUCCACAGCUGCUGUCUCUGUAGUCAUCGUGGUCUCUGGAGAGGCUGUGACAACUUGAGUCAGGCUGCACUUCUUGUCUGCUGCCCUAGAAACCAUGAUCCUGGACCUGAGGCAACCUAAGGCUGGCACUGAGGCGAGCAGAGCUUAGAGCUGUGAGAACCUCUUGGAUAGGGGAUGAAGUGUGAGAAGAGGAUUUGGGGUCUGCUGGGUCCCCUUGGCCCUGAGCUUCUCCUGAUGAAGUCACAGCCUUUCAAAGCUGGGGGCAAAGAAAAGCAGCUCGGACGGACAUGGAAAAAUCACCACAAGCUCUUUCUGCUCUUCCUUGUCUCCUGCCUGUUUGUCCUUACACAGCUGCUUAGCUGGGUGACCACAAAGGAGUUCCGGGUCUUUGGUCCCUCAGACCCCAUUGUGGCUGCACCAGGUGGGGAAGCCAUCCUUCCCUGCUCCGUGUUUCCAGCCAUGAAUGUGGAGAACAUGGAGGAGUUGAGGUGGUUCCGCAGCAGAUUCUCAGAAGCAGUACUUGUCUAUCGGGACCAAAAGGAACAGAAAAGAGAGCAGAUGCCUGGGUAUUCACGGCGCACCUUGCUGGUGAAGGACAAGUUCCAUCAAGGCACAGUUGCUGUGAGGAUCCAAAAUGUCCAGGCAUCAGAUAGUGGGCUAUACAUCUGCCACUUCAAACAGGGAGUGUUCUAUGAAGAGGCCAUCUUGGAACUGAAGGUGGCAGCAAUGGGCUCUGUCCCUGAAGUACGCAUCAAAGGUCCAGAAGAUGGUGGAGUGAGUGUUGUAUGCAAUACCUCAGGGUGGUACCCGAAGCCUCAGGUGCAUUGGAGAGAUUUCAGAGGAGAGAAUCUCACAGCAUCCUCAGAGAUCCAUCAUGAAGAUGCUCAAGGACUGUUCAGCACAGAAACCUCACUGGUGGUGAGAGACAGCUCUGUCAGGAGUGUGACCUGCUCCAUCUUCAAUCCUAUCUUGGGUCAGGAGAAAGCCAUGGCCAUAUUCAUCCCAGGAGCAGUCAUGGUGGAGCUUGCUCGAAGACAAGCAGGUUACAGGGCAGCCUGGAGGAAGGCCCAGCUGUAUGCAGAUUGGCGCAAGGAACACUUCCAGGCCUGGACUUUCACUCUGGAUCCAGCCUCUGCCCAUGCCAACCUUGCCAUCUCCCAGGAUAGGCUGAGUGUGACCCGGAACGAUUCCACUCUGUGCUUGGAGGACCUCUCCAGUGGUGUUAGGCAUCGGAGGCAUCUGUAAGACAUUACUGGGAGGUGAACCUAACAAACAGAGAGGGCAGCAAAUGGAUUCUGGGGGUCUGUAGGGAAGGUGUGGACAGGAAAGAUUUUUAUUUUGAGACUCCAGGUAAGGGGUUUUGGACUGUGCGGCAGUCUAGUAAGGGAUAUUGGGCCUAUAUUGACUCUGGGAGGGCUUCAUUAUCUGUCAGGCAAGCUCUGCAGAGUAUGGGGGUGUUUGUGGACUACACUGAAGGUGACAUCUCAUUCUAUAACAUGAGUGACAUGUCCCACAUGUUCUCCUUUCAUGAGGCUUCUUUCUCUGGGACUCUUUUUCCAUACUUCAGGCUUAGGAAUGGAUAUAUUUAAAAGAUUAUCAGCUCCAUGGCAUGUGCGUCUGAGGGGAGGGAGGGAGAAGAGGGGAGGAGAGGAAGGAGAAGAAGGGGAAGAGUAUAAAGAGCAUGAAGGAGUUAGUUUUGCUUCUUUCCAGAUGGAGUCUCUGAGUCCUGCAGGGGAGGGCCUGGUUCCAGGCUCUUGUGUUGUGGACUCUCUCUCAGAGGAAGACUCUCCAUUCCUCCAGCAUGCCAGGAACCAUAGUGUGGUUCACUGCACCCUAGUGUGGUUCACUGCCUAAUUCAUCAGUUUGUCUCCUUGUGGGAGUGUAGAAGCCACAGGCCAAAGCCCCCAUGGGUCCUGGAAGGGCCUGGAGCCUUGACCCACACUGCUACUCAGUCUGACUCCGAGCCUGUGCCUGUGGCUGAGGUGGAAGCGAGGUCAUGCUUUGUGUCAGGUGGUGUAAAACAGGUUGGUUUGAGCUCUGGGAAGGUAUUUUCCUCUUGGCAUUAAAUAGCAUUUUAUUAGUGGUUGGUUUUUUUUCUUUGUUUGUUUGUUUUGUUUUUUGCCAUUUGGCAUGAAACAGACCAAGGGCUGAGUGAACAUUAGUUAAUUUGUUCAUCUGGCCAUGGGCACCUAUUCUAUUCUAUGUCUUGGCUGUUGUGAUCAGUGUUGUAGUGAGUAUGGGCGAAGAGAUGUCUGACACAUGAUUUCCUGUCUUCUACAUUUGUUCUUGGUGAUGAGAUUGCUGGAUCCUAGAUAGUUCCUCGAAGUGGACCUUCUCAGUGGACAAUGACCUGUCUGUCCAUCCAUCUCCAUGAACCUGCCUUAUCAUCAUACCAGAUCUGUCUUUGAUUCUUACAUAAAUUCUUUGAUUUUUGUAUUUGAGUCUCUCUCUCUCUUACAGAAUUACACAUAUAACUACAAAAAGUAAUUCAUAUUUUAUAAA